This 663-nucleotide long non-coding RNA is filed under the name Penaeus japonicus. RNAcentral's name for it is "uncharacterized LOC122245655, transcript variant X2". The record is from RNAcentral. Lineage: Eukaryota; Metazoa; Arthropoda; Malacostraca; Decapoda; Penaeidae.
GGAGAAUGAACGGGCAACCCCUUCUUGAGUGGUGAGGUCAAAACUUCGCUUGCGAUUGUUCUUUCACGAUCAUUAUCUUGGCGUUAGCCGCAGUGCCCCGAGGAUGGUUGGGUAUAUGGCACAUUGCCAGCCGAGGGAUCAGAGGUGAGAUGGUAAGGGUAAGAAUGAAGUGAUGCUGAACAGAACAGCAAGAUGAGUGGGAGCAAGGCAAUCACAUUGAAUGUAAGCUCCAAGGUAGUUGUGGCAACUGCCUUGGGUGCAGGUGUUGUGGUAGGAGCGGGUUUGGCCUAUGUCAUAAGUCGGGUCAAUGAGCACACUCACCUUACCCAGCAAAUAUCCAGUCUUCAUGAAACCAUCUUACAAGUCAGGAGAGAUCUUGCGUCUUUGGAAACUGGUUCAGUCUUCUAGAUUUCUUUGGAUGUUUAUGGGUACUAGGAAUUGCUAGACACCCAUGAGGACCAUGUUGUUGUAGCUAACCCUUUAGGCCUUACUUUUGAUCACAUGUACUUCAGAUAUGCAGGUAACAGGAAUGAUGGUCUAGAUUAUUGUGCUCCUGAGUAAAACAUUUUCAUUUUCUGUCAAGUAAUCAGAGCAGACAUUCUUUUAAUAAUUCAAAUGGCCCCUCUUUGCAAACCUUUAAUGAUGAUAUUAUUCAUGUUUUAU